Molecule: long non-coding RNA, 719 nt
Organism: Paramisgurnus dabryanus
Lineage: Eukaryota; Metazoa; Chordata; Actinopteri; Cypriniformes; Cobitidae
Source: RefSeq, a predicted model, not a curated record
GUCACUGUCACGCUGCAUGCUGGAAGGAGACGAGGGAACCACUAAAAUCAGAUUCAAAGAACAUUUAUUUACUAUGAACGCAGGAGCAACACACCACAGCAUACAUUAAACAAUGCCAGACAAAAGGCACGGGAAAAUAUACUGGAAUUAAUGAAGGUAAUGGCAGACCAGUGAUGAUGAUUCACAACAAGGAGCAGGUACGGGAGAGUAAGGGAUUUUGGAGUCCAUGGGGAGAAUACGGGGAAGACAAAGGGAAAACCAAACAGGCAGACAGAUUGGGAUUCUGACAGUCACGUGAGCCGAUUGUUAACCUGUGCGCAUGCGCAGUAGCUAAAACAGCUUCGAAUAAAGGUGCAAACAUUUUUGAAACCCCCUGCUAACGACUAAAUGACGGUUGACCCGGAGGGAACAGAGUUCAGUUAUCAGGGGACGACUGUUCCUCAUCUCGUGGGUCUGAGAGGUGACAGCAACACCUUACUGUCUUGGAUUCCAUUGUUGCUGGGCAUCACAUAAACAACAGACUGCCAGCACCACAGUCCAUUACUGACAGUAAAGACCACAGUCAGAUAAACCUAAGGUGCAACUUCCUCACUCAACAUCUAUGCACCAGGAGAACACAAGGGAGCGACAUUGAGAGGAGGCGAUGAUGAACGGUGAAACUCGAGCAUGAAAUAUUGGACAGUUUCACAGAUCAGAAAUGCAGUCGAAGCUAAUGAGGA